RNAcentral lists this ribosomal RNA (253 nucleotides) under uncultured bacterium. RNAcentral's name for it is "partial 16S ribosomal RNA". It matches the Rfam family "Bacterial small subunit ribosomal RNA", at positions 524 to 776 of the family's 1533-position model. The record is from RNAcentral.
UACGUAGGGUGCAAGCGUUGUCCGGAAUUAUUGGGCGUAAAGGGCUCGUAGGCGGUUCGUCGCGUCGGCUGUGAAAACCCGGAGCUCAACUCCGGGCCUGCAGUCGAUACGGGCGGACUGGAGUUCGGCAGGGGAGACUGGAAUUCCUGGUGUAGCGGUGAAAUGCGCAGAUAUCAGGAGGAACACCGGUGGCGAAGGCGGGUCUCUGGGCCGAUACUGACGCUGAGGAGCGAAAGCGUGGGGAGCGAACAGG